RNAcentral lists this ribosomal RNA (972 nucleotides) under Triticum aestivum (bread wheat). RNAcentral describes it as "partial small subunit ribosomal RNA". The record is from RNAcentral. Lineage: Eukaryota; Viridiplantae; Streptophyta; Magnoliopsida; Poales; Poaceae.
AUGUCGCUGGUGUUAGCGGCGGGGCUUCCAAUGCGGCCCCGGGUGGGCGACGUAGCUUGUGGAAUUGCGUCUGGAAGUCCUCGGUCCCUCAAAAAAAUGAAGAUUACAAUGUGGAAAGCUGCUACUGGAGCCCUUCCAACACAGAGUUACAAGAUGCUCAGGCAUCUGGCGACCAGAUCAACAUGCCCAGUAUGUGGCCGAGAGGAGGAAGGUUCAUACCAUGCCCUGGUGGCGUGCUCUCAUGCUAGAAUGGUGUGGACCAGUAUGAGGGAGAGAUGGCCUCUCCCAGAUGACAAGUUGCUGGUGGAUAAUGGCAAGGAGUGGAUCCUACAUCUGUUAUCGAGCUGUUCUGAUGCUGUUCGUGACAUGAUUAUUAUGUUAUGCUGGCGUAUCUGGCAGCUAAGGAACGACCUCACUCAUGGCAUGGAAACCCCUCCAGUUCAUGUGACAGUCGAAUUUUUGGAUAGCUACUACAGAUCGGUGUGCCUGGCAGGCCGGUAUACUAUAGAGGAAAUUCUCAAGGGGAAGAUGCCAUCUUCGUCUCUCCCAAGCAAGGCAGUGAAGACGGCGCCAGCAGCAGCACCGUGGCCCAAACCACCACAAGGCCGGGUAGCACUCUCGGUUGAUGGUUCUUUUAGUGGUACCGACGGAUCAGCGGCAACAGGGAUGGCAUUGGCUAUCCAACAUUCCUCGCUCCCGGUUAUUGUACAGUCGGACUCAUCGGAGGCGCUCUCGUCUUUACGGAAUCAGGGUCUUGAGCGCUCUGCUUAUGGUCAUAUAGUUAGAGAGAUCAAAGAGUUGUUAGUCAGCAGGGAGUUUUAUCCUCAGAGAAUUCACCGUAGCCAAAACAGUGUUGCAGAUCGUUUGGCCAAUUAUAGCCGCAUCGAGAGCACAACUGCGGUGUGGUUGACCUCGGCUCCACCAUGUAUCGAGGACCUAUGGCCUCUGGAUUGUAACACUUCUUCUGAGUAA